RNAcentral lists this long non-coding RNA (4658 nucleotides) under Piliocolobus tephrosceles (Ugandan red Colobus). RNAcentral's name for it is "lncRNA (ENSPTEG00000028520.1)". The record is from RNAcentral. Lineage: Eukaryota; Metazoa; Chordata; Mammalia; Primates; Cercopithecidae.
AGUGAUAGUUAAAAAUAGUUAUCAAACUACAUGUAUAUAUAUGUUAUAUUCUAUGUUUUGUCAUUUUUUUUGUCAAUAAAAUUGUCUAUCUAAAUUUUAUAAUAUCUAUUUUUAUCUUCGUUUUUUUAUUUUUUAUUUUUUUUGUAGUUGCUUAUUUUAUUUUAUUUUUUCUUUUGUGGCCGUUUACGUCACCCAUUUUUUUGAUGGUUAUUUUAUAUGUUUGUUCCGAAAAAAAAUGAACUACAUAUACUCUUUAUGUGAAAAUAUAGGGGAAAAUGAGAAAAAGUUGAUUUCAGAUGAAUUAGGAAAUAUACUUGAUGAUUUUCCAGAUAAGAGCAAAUAUCAUGUGUCUGAAUUAGUUGUUGUAAGUAGAACCAGGUUCUUUAAGUUAUUGAGUAAUUAUGGUGAAUUUUUACUAUUAGAAUCGUCUUCUAGAGUAAUAAACAGUUACGAAAAUAUUUUACUGUUAUUACAUAAAGCCAAAAUAUUUGAACGAUUUUUUAAAUGCUUGCAAAUAAAAAAUGAUAAUUUGAAUAUAAAAAAAAACUUUGAAAAGGAUAUUUUAAUGUUUAUCAAUUAUUUAGAAGAAGAAAAAAAAAAACAUUAUGACAAUUUAAGUAAAAUAAUGAUAAAAUUUAUAAUUACAGCUGUAAGUAAAAAUAAUAGUUUUUUAGAAAAUAAGUUAUUAUAUAAUGAAUUAGAAAAUAAAACAAGUUUUGACACUGCUACAACACAAACAGUCACACAAAAAGAGGAGAAAGCAUUUAGUGAUUCUAACGCGUGUCAGUCAUUAAAAAUAAAUGAUAGUACUGAUGAUAUCUGGAAACAAAAUUCUAACACUAAAGAUGAAUUAGAUAUUCUUAUCGAACCUUUUAACGAAUUAGAAGAUUAUGAAGAUUAUUUAUUUAAUAUAUUAAAUAAAAUGGAUAGUACAUCAUGGAAAGAUAAAAAACAUGAAGAAUAUUUAAAAAUGAUUAGUUUGAAUGAUGAAAUGGUACAUGAAGAUGAUAGUAGUAAUAGUAGUAGUGCUAGUAUAGAAACUUUAGAUAAUAAUAAAAGAAACCUCAGUAACAUUACUAAAAUAAAGACUAAUAAUACUCUUUUAUUACCAAAGCAUUUAAAAAAUGUUAGAAAUUCAAUAUAUAGUUAUCAAAGUAAAUCCAAAAUGGAAGUAAAAUAUAUGGUAGAACAGGCAAUGAGUGAUAAUCUAAAAACUACAUUAUUUAAAACUGGUAAAAUAAAAAGCGAAAUGAUUCCAUCACCAAAUUAUGUAAAAUAUUGGCCUUAUACUAAUAAUAAUAGUUUAAGUAGAUUUGAUGACUCUGCAUUGAUGCCAGAUAUGAUAUUAAAAUUUUUUAAUAUCCAAAAUAGUUCUGCUUCUGCUUUUAAAUAUGACAGUCCGAAUAAUGCAAAUCCAUAUAAUGCAAGUCCAUAUAACGCAAGUCCAUAUAACGCAAGUCCAUAUAAUGCAAGUCCAAAUUGUACCAUUCAGAACAAUGUUAACACACGUGUAUCCCCCUUUGAAUAUCAUGUUAACUAUUAUGACAUUAUGAAACUGAUUUUAAAAGGAAUAAAUGCGAUUCCAAUUGAGAAUGAAGAAAUUAAUAUGUUACUUACAUUUUUAUCAAAUAGAGAGAGACAGAAUUAUUACCUUAUGAACAAUAACAAAAACAAUUUAGUUGAUAUGCAAUUUGAUGCUAAUAGUAAUAAUAAAAAAUAUAAUUAUUCUAUACUACCAUUAGACGCAUAUAGCAAUACAAAUAAGAUAUGUAAGGAAAUCUUAAAAUAUGCAAUUUCUAAUCACGAUUUAGUGCUAACAUUAAAAACAAUGGAUACUUUUUUAGAAUUAGUACUAUAUAAAAAUUCGCUUAAAGAUAUAGUUUAUUUUUUAAAUACGAUUGGGGAAUACAUAAUUAUACCAUACUUGACAUAUGAAUUGAAUGUAUCUGGUAAAAAUAGGAGUUAUAACAAUAGGGAAAGUAGUAUGAACCAAAUGGAUGAAAUAAACCAAAUAAAUGGAACGAGUCAAAUGAAUGGCGCGAAUGGUGAAUAUUUUAGGCCAAACAUUGAAACAUGGCAAAACAGGUAUAUUCCUCAUAGUAAUAAUCAACAUAUCUAUGAAAAUGGUAAUGAAAAUGGUAAUGAAAAUGAUAAUAAAAAUGGUAAUGAAAAUGGUAAUGAAUCACGCUCAUUCAAUUACACAAACUUUCAUAAAGUGCUAUGUAGAAUACCUUUACAUGAAUACCAAUCCUUACAACUGUUACAAUUAUAUUCAUUACAUUACCCUAUGUUUUUUAAAAUUAAUGAUAAACCACAAAGAUGUUUAAAAAAUUGUUUAAGACCUUGUGAAUACUAUAGUAAUACACUACCAACCUAUGGAUCGUAUAUAUUUCAAUUUUCCGUUGUUUUUGAAAUUGAUAAUUCUAUAAAAGUAUUAGACGAACAUGGGUCGAAGUGCAAAAUAUUAUUUCAAUUAAGUGAAGAUGACAAUGAUAAAAAUAACCAAUUGGAUAUUGAUGUUACUUCAAGUGAAGAUAAUAAAGUAAACAAUUUUCUGGAAAUAAAUUUUAUACAAAAUCAUAUGUAUACGAAAAUUAUAAAGCAUACACAGUUAGGUAAUAAUAUGAAAGAAAAAGAAGGUGAAAUGUUUAGCAAUGUUAAGCAAAAUUCUUAUCAAACUAAUGAUAAAAAAUAUUCUAAUUAUAUUAUUCGUGACAAAGUAUUUAGUAAUGAUAAUAAUAGCAGUAGUAACUACUAUAACUGUAAUAACACAACAAACAAACAUAUAAAUGUAUAUGAUGUUACCAAUAUGAACACAAUUGUUUUUGACAUAUUGGUAGAUCAAGGAUGUUAUAACAAUGAUAGCAGUGAUGGAAAUAUGGCUGAAAAUGAUCAUACAGAUAUAGUCAUUUAUUCUAAUGGAAAAUAUCUAUUAUCAACUUGUGUAAAAAAGGGUUCUGUUUGUCUUGGAGGCAAUAGCAGUGUUGACAAAGGAAACAAAAGCGACAAAAGCGACAAAAGCGAUAAAAGCGGCAAAAGCGAUAAUGACAAACUCGUGCUAAAUAAUAGUAUAAGGUUAAAGGUAUUUACAUCCCGAACAUGUGUUGCUGAAUUUCCAAAAGAGUUUAAUUGCUCUUCCACAUUUGUAAACGAAUUAAUUAAUAGAAAAUUGAUAUUAGAUAAUAAUAAAAACUUUUUAUUAAAAAAUCAUAUAAACAUUAUUGAAUUUUAUAAUAAAGUUUCCACUGCAUUAAAUCGAUACAUAUAUCGUUUUUACGAUUGGAAUCAUAGUGAUCAUAAAAAUAAAAUUAAAAAGGAGUAUGUUUGUUUAUCAUAUAAUAAUGUGGACAUUUACACAUUUGAAGUAUUAAUUAAAUUUAUAGAAAACAAUAAUAAAAUUCUUAGAAGGUUGAGCAAAUUGGCAAGGAGUUGUUUAGAAGUGGAAUAUAUAGGAACGGGUGUCAGGGAGGAAUGUGUAGGAGCGAGUGUCGUGGAGGAAUAUAUAGGCGCGAGUGUAGGGGGCGAAUGCGUAAGAUCGGCCGCCAUAACAGAAUGUCCAAACGGGUUGGUUGCUACUAAUAAUGAGCAUAGUAACAGUUACAACAAUGGCAAGAGCUACAGUAAUGUCUCUUUCGCUAAAUAUCGACAAUACCUAUACGAAUGGAAUAAAAUGUCCGAUGCACAUAAUUACGCAUUAAGCAUUUUAAAGUUAUAUUUAAAAAGUGAUAUAAACACAACAAAUAAUGACAUAAUAGAAAAUAAUGAUAAUUUUUACUCAUUAGCAGAAAGAUUAAUGGUAUGUUUUUUAAAAAUUAUUAAAUUAAAAACACCGUUCAUAAAUAAAAAAGAUUUUUAUACAGAUUCUAAUUAUGAAAUAGAAGAGUUAGAUACUAAUGGUACUUUAUGGUUAUUAAGAAGAAAUGUAUACCAAAUUCUUUUAGAGGGAGAUAAAAUAAUAAUAAGUAAUAUAUUUUUGAGAAUAAGUAUAAAAAUUAUUUUAAAAUUACUUAAGUUUUUUUCAAUAAAUAAUAAUUUAGAUUCAGAUAUGAUACUAAAUGUGUUAAAUUCAUUGGAAUCAAAAGGUAUUUUAGGUAUAAUAAUGAAACGUUUGUUAAGUAAACCGUAUAAAAAUAGUUCUCAAAAAGAUAACAGUUCAGAUUUCAUUAUAAAUAAAAAUGGUUAUUCUCCAGAAUCGGCAACUAUGAACACAGCUAACACUUUACUCUCUUCUUCCUAUUCUAACUCUACUUUAAACAGUACUAGUUCGGAGCUAUUAUACGAAAUAAAUAUGAGUAUUGACAAUAUAGUAGAAAAAAAAAAAGAAAAAAAAAAAAAAAAAAAACAAAAAGAAAAACCAUUUUUAACACGGAAGAAGUAAGUAAUAUGCAUAAAAAACAAAAGAACAUAGAAUUUGUAUAUAAAUUAAUGUCAAAUGAUAAAGAAGCUGUGUCAUUUUUAGGAACUCAUUAUAAUGUUUUUCAUAAAAAUUUUGAAAGAGCCCAAAUAGCUUUAGUAGCUGUAUUUUUGUACCUAACGGGGUAUAACCAUAGCAAUAGAACAGAAUGCCUGAACAAAAACUAUUCAGAACAUGUAUAUACUAAAGAACAAAAAGACGAUAUAUUAAUAAAUGAAAUUUUAGAAAUAAAAAAAAUAAAAAU